AAUGGGCGAAAGCCUGACGGAGCAACGCCGCGUGAGGGAUGAAGGCCUCUGGGCUGUAAACCUCUUUUAUCAAGGAAGAAGAUCUGACGGUACUUGAUGAAUAAGCCACGGCUAAUUCCGUGCCAGCAGCCGCGGUAAUACGGGAGUGGCAAGCGUUAUCCGGAAUUAUUGGGCGUAAAGCGUCCGCAGGCGGCCCUUCAAGUCUGCUGUUAAAAAGUGGAGCUUAACUCCAUCAUGGCAGUGGAAACUGUUGGGCUUGAGUGUGGCAGGGGCAGAGGGAAUUCCCGGUGUAGCGGUGAAAUGCGUAGAUAUCGGGAAGAACACCAGUGGCGAAGGCGCUCUGCUGGGCCAUCACUGACGCUCAUGGACGAAAGCCAGGGGAGCGAAAGGGAUU
RNAcentral lists this ribosomal RNA (394 nucleotides) under uncultured Gammaproteobacteria bacterium. RNAcentral's name for it is "bacterial SSU rRNA". It matches the Rfam family "Bacterial small subunit ribosomal RNA", at positions 370 to 779 of the family's 1533-position model. The record is from RNAcentral. Lineage: Bacteria; Pseudomonadati; Pseudomonadota; Gammaproteobacteria.